AGACUCUGUGCGCGUGCAUAUCAAUAAGCGGAGGAAAAGAAACUAACAAGGAUUCCCCUAGUAACGGCGAGUGAAGCGGGAAGAGCUCAAAUUUGAAAUCUUAAAGGGUUUCCCUUACGAAUUGUAGUUUAAAGAAGUGUUUUCUGUUGGAGUUUUGGUAAAAGUUCUUUGGAAUAGGACAUCAUAGAGGGUGAGAAUCCCGUAUUUGACCGUUACUUUCCAGCUGUGUGAUACACUUUCAAAGAGUCGGAUUGUUUGGGAAUGCAGUCCAAAAUGGGUGGUAAAUUUCAUCUAAAGCUAAAUAUUGGCGAGAGACCGAUAGCGAACAAGUACCGUGAGGGAAAGAUGAAAAGAACUUUGAAAAGAGAGUUAAACAGUACGUGAAAUUGUCAAAAGGGAAGCGUUUGACACCAGUGUUGUUUAGUUGAAAAUCAAUUCAAUAAUUUUUGAUUUUAAGUAGUAUUGACUUCAUCAGCUUGCUGCUUUCUUUUCAGGAAUUAUUGAAUGCACUUUUCAGUUAACAAGUCAACAUCAAUUUCUUUUGUUGUAAAAGAGUCAUUGGUAGGUGGCUUUCUUUUCGGAGAAAGUGUUUAUAGCCUUGUGCCUCUGCAAUCGGAGAGAUUGAGGUCUGCAGCGUAGAUCCUUCGGGGUUAGAUACAGUUUGUGCUAAGUUAUAGCUUUUCAUAGACAACUUUGUUGACUAUGUUUAGUCUUGUAGCUUACUCGCUGACUGCUAUUUUACCUACGCUUAGGAUGUUGACAGCAGUAUAGACUGU
Molecule: ribosomal RNA, 776 nt
Filed under: uncultured Neocallimastigales
Lineage: Eukaryota; Fungi; Neocallimastigomycota; Neocallimastigomycetes; Neocallimastigales
Description: partial large subunit ribosomal RNA
Rfam family: Eukaryotic large subunit ribosomal RNA
Source: RNAcentral